AUGGUUGUCGUCAGCUCGUGUCGUGAGAUGUUGGUUAAGUCCCGCAACGAGCGCAACCCCUAUUGUUAGUUGCCAUCAUUCAGUUGGGCACUCUAGCGAGACUGCCGGUAAUAAACCGGAGGAAGGUGGGGAUGACGUCAAUCAUCAUGCCCCUUAUGACCUGGGCUACACACGUGCUACAAUGGUUGGUACAACGAGUUGCGAGUCGGUGACGGCGAGCUAAUCUCUUAAAGCCAAUCUCAGUUCGGAUUGUAGGCUGCAACUCGCCUACAUGAAGUCGGAAUCGCUAGUAAUCGCGGAUCAGCACGCCGCGGUGAAUACGUUCCCGGGCCUU
RNAcentral lists this ribosomal RNA (334 nucleotides) under uncultured Streptococcus sp. Its description in RNAcentral is "bacterial SSU rRNA". It matches the Rfam family "Bacterial small subunit ribosomal RNA", at positions 1045 to 1382 of the family's 1533-position model. Lineage: Bacteria; Bacillati; Bacillota; Bacilli; Lactobacillales; Streptococcaceae. The record is from RNAcentral.